GGAGAGAUGUCCGAGUGGCCUAUGGUACCUGCCUCGAAAACAGGCGAACGUGUAAUGCGUUCCGAGGGUUCAAAUCCCUCUUUCUCCGCCA
RNAcentral lists this transfer RNA (91 nucleotides) under Clostridium frigoris. RNAcentral's name for it is "tRNA-Ser". It matches the Rfam family "tRNA". From Rfam's summary of the family: Transfer RNA (tRNA) molecules are approximately 80 nucleotides in length. RNAcentral also lists the same sequence under 1 other name. The record is from RNAcentral. Lineage: Bacteria; Bacillati; Bacillota; Clostridia; Eubacteriales; Clostridiaceae.